UACGUAGGGAGCAAGCGUUGUCCGGAAUCAUUGGGCGUAAAGCGCGCGUAGGCGGCCUCAUAAGUCCGUUGUGAAAGUCAAGGGCUCAACCUUUGAAAGCCGAUGGAUACUGUGAGGCUAGAGUCCGGAAGAGGCGAGUGGAAUUCCUGGUGUAGCGGUGGAAUGCGCAGAUAUCAGGAGGAACACCAAUAGCGAAGGCAGCUCGCUGGGACGGUACUGACGCUAAGGCGCGAAAGCGUGGGGAGCGAGCAGG
This 253-nucleotide ribosomal RNA is filed under the name uncultured bacterium. Its description in RNAcentral is "partial 16S ribosomal RNA". It matches the Rfam family "Bacterial small subunit ribosomal RNA", at positions 524 to 776 of the family's 1533-position model. The record is from RNAcentral.